RNAcentral lists this long non-coding RNA (1573 nucleotides) under Pan troglodytes (chimpanzee). Its description in RNAcentral is "lincRNA". The record is from RNAcentral. Lineage: Eukaryota; Metazoa; Chordata; Mammalia; Primates; Hominidae.
UCCAGCUAUUUGGCCCAACCCAUAUUAGAUUGUGUUAUAAAGACAUGGUAAAUUACAUCACGAAGGGAAGAGCAGAGGAAACAUAAUAUUCCUUCAAGACCCAUCAGCUCAGAUGUUAGCAGAACACCCCUAAGGAGGAAAACAAGAAAUUUUGGGUUUGAACUUGGUGCUUCCCAGCAGCCCUGGGAGUGGGGUCAGAAGCCCUGCUGGGGGGCGAAGAACUCUGAGGAUCAAAGAUGUUGAGCAUCACCUUAGAGGCCAAAGAUCAGAACAGCGGAGGUGGCCUUUGAAGCCCAACCUGUCUUUCACCAGAGAGUGAGAACGGCCUCUAUUUCCAGGAAGCUCACUGCAGCAAUAAUCACGAUGCUCUGAGCCUGACAAGGUGAGAAUUUACUUUCAGCACCUGCAAUAGUUUCCUAUUAAAGUUACAUAUGAAACCCUGCCGUCUUGUACCAACUAAUGUUCACACCAGCGUUCCUAUUUUCAAGAUAAAUUGCAAAAUAAAAACUCUUGUUUUUGUUAGCAAAAGAAAACUUCUUUAGGAGGAUAAAAGGGAGAUGAAGAAACAGAAAACACAUCAGCUCUCCAUCCAGAUUACAGAAAGCAGAAAACAUCCUGAAGUGAAUAACAUAGGAAUCACUCUUUUUCCCCCCUGAGAUAGCAGGUUACUUAUGAGAAACAAGCUUGAAAUCUCUGCACCUGGACCAGCUUCCAGAGGCUUUUGUCCUGACCAGCUGGCUUUGGGGAAGUAAAGGAAACCAGGGAAGAAGGGGCUGAAUUGGUUUCCACCGUGACCUUUGAACCCUCGGGCGAGUUGUCAACCUCACUGAGGAUGAGUGUACUCGAUAUCAAAUGAGGUCACUUUACUCGCAAGCUUGUUGUGAGGACUGAAUGAAACCUUUUCUUUUUUCUUGGAGUUUCAGAGCAAUGUCCCUGAGCCAAGCCCCACACUGGCUUGAGCCCUAUCGUCGGUCAAGACACGGUGCUUUCUCCCCUCCCCUCUGCACUCCAGCUUACUCUGCAGUCAGGAGGUGGCACCAGGAUCCCCUUUAAGACUUUGCCACUUGGGCCAGCUGUGCCCCUGUGAAAUUCCCUGUUUCUAUUGCAGGCCACAAGGACGAGCUGAGAAAUGGCUUCCAGUCACCAUCUAGAUUAGAAAGCCUAUAUUUCAAAUAUAGAGAUAUCAAUUAUGCCUGUAAAAAGACAUUAAAUCCCACAGGGCUGUAAUUCCUAGACUCUACGAAUUUCAUCUUGCACCAAAUUUUAUUAUUUCAUUUAUAAUUCGGAUUCUUCAAAUCUAAGAGUGCCUGGCUCAAAAUUAAAAUACCUACAACUAUGCCAAAACUGGACUCUUUAAUUGCCUUACUGGAACCAGUAGCUGAUUCAAAGCAAAACGAAACAAAAUUCCUCCUUUCUCUGAUUUAGUGAAUCAAUGAUCUAACUGAACUCAUUUUUAGACUGAGUUUGCGGCACUUGCAGCCCUGAGGGACACAUUCCCCCACCACACUGAGCCUGCACUCCCAUCAAUGCAAAUGAACAUUUUGCUUAUUCAGAUUGGGGGGGGUGAAGGAAG